UUUUUGUCGUCAUGCUCUCUGACUAUUUUUCGCCAUUGAAAUGGUUUUCGAUAUGAUUUUUGCUACAAACACCUUACUGUACUAAUCAGCAUCUCACUGGACUCAAAACUUUUUAACGUUAUCAAUUUCACAUCUGUUUGAAAUAUCACUCUUGGUAGGAAAGAAGAUGCAUGCAUAUAUAUAAUUAAUUAGUGUGUAAGCUCACGGACGCAAUCAUAAAAGGCCAAAAGCUAUAUGACUUUUUUUCUUUUUACAUUGUUUUCAUCAAAAUUAAGGAGCUCUUUCCAUAAUACGAUGUUAUAAGACCAUCUUUACUGGGGAAUACUCUGUGAGUUACUCUCACAUUUGGACCCCAUUUGUGAAUAAAAAAUCCAUUUUUGAGUCCAUCAAGCAGAGUAUCGAUACUGUGGGAAGCCAUUGGAGCAACCGAUACUCUGCCUAAUAAAAUAUUAAAAAAACUCUUCUCUCUCUCUCAGUCGACGAAGCUUCAAGCUUUGGUGGAACCAAACCAACGGAAGAGGAUGCGAUUCUCGUCUCCUUCAGCUACAGAGAUCCUCGCUACUAAAAAAUCACUGAACCACCAGCGACUCGCAUCUCAUCACCAUCACUCUUAGGAAAAAAAACCGAUCGAAUGUAUCCUCCGCGAGUCACCAUCAAGGAUCUGCGUCUCAGACGCAUCUCCUCUCCGAGUCCGAACUCCACCGACGACAGCGAAUUAAACGGCAAAGAAGAAACCGAAGCAAGGAAGAACAAUACCAUAUAUCUCGUUGCAAAUGUCCGGAUUCGAACAAUGGAAUCAAAGCUCAUGCUUGUGGAUUAAGAAAUGUAGAAGCAGAGGAGUUACUUCAAACGACGUUAUAAGAGAUUGCUUCCAUACUUUAUGUCUGAUGGAACGUCAUCAAGCCGGUGCUCAAACCUUUAAGCCAGAAUCCUCUAGAUAUUAGUUUAUCCUGUAACAGAGAAGCUGGAUAAACUGGUGAAGACGUAGAGGAGGAAGUUAGUGAGUUGAUGCUCAUGGAGAUGAUUGUGGCAAAUGCAUUGUGUCACGUUUGCUAAGCUUCAAAUCCUUUCAUUGAAGCUUUUGUUAUUGUCGUUUAGUUCUUUCUCUCUGCAAAUAGGCAAUCUUGUACGUGCUAUGCUUCCGAAUGAGAUCAGUCCUGGACGUUCCUAGCUUUCGAUCGCAGCUUACACCAUUGUUGUCAGUUUUAUCUCACAAACUAGACCCGUUGAAGAAGUGCCAUCAAUUGGUAGUUUCUGAGUUCCGUAAACAAGCCAAAGCAGCUGGUCUGUUCAUUGUCUCGGAAGCCUGCAUUUUGAAUGGCCUACCCAAGUCUGAGCUCUCUCGUGAAAGGCUUGUUUUGUUCAUCCCGUUCGACCAGUGCUUGCUACAAAAAUCUAAAAGGUUCACUAUCUUAACUGGUACGUAGAUGAAGAGAAGCAGCAGAUUGUUAAGAUGGAUGGAGAAGCAGCAGCAGGUUCACUAUGCUAACUGGUACGUAGACUUGCAUAUUGGUACAAAUGCAACCAGAAAAAUCUAUCAAGCAUAUGGAGGGAUGAUUUUGUAUAAAUAACAUAAAUAAUUUGUAAAAUUUUGUUAAUUGAGCAACCUUCUUUGGGUUCUCUAGUGGAGGUAUGUUUUUGCUAAAGUUCUCUUAGAAUUGCUUUAAUUAAUUUAAUAUUAAUUAUAUUA
Long non-coding RNA from Camelina sativa (false flax), 1690 nucleotides. RefSeq lists it as uncharacterized. NCBI's taxonomy places the organism in Eukaryota, Viridiplantae, Streptophyta, Magnoliopsida, Brassicales, Brassicaceae. The record is from RefSeq and is a predicted model, not a curated record.